AUGCCUCAGCUGGCCAAUGAGCUGACGAAGGAACUAAAGGCCCUGGAAUUAUCCAAGGCGCAGAUCGGAGACGGGGGGCACCCUCCGUGUCCCAUCAUCAUCGCCAAGGUCGGCGACCUCACACGCAACGUCGACAGCAGCGAGUACGACCCUAACCACGUCGCCAUCGGCCCGUACAACUACCCUCGGCCACAGAGCAAGAACCUGCACCUCGCCAUGGAGAAUGACAAGCUCGCCAGCCUCCAACUGGUGCUCACGGCGGCGAAGGUGGAGAGACCCGGCGUGACGGUGGACAUCUACAUAAAUGAGCUCACAUGCCUCGAGAAGUCUGUGAGGAAAUGCUACGCCAACAUGUUUGAUGACAUGACGGGCGACCAGUUCGUGCGCAUGCUCCUCCUUGACGGCUGCUACAUAAUCUCCCGCCUAGUCGGCCUCCCACACCGAGCAUGCACACAAUCCGCAGGCGUUGCACCGGGGACUGCAGAAGCCGGUGUCCCGUCGGCAAACCGGGUCGAGGCGCUGGCGGUGGUCCGGGAUGUUUUCUUCCUUGCAGAGAACCAGAUACCGUUCUUCGUGCUCGAGAAGAUCGGAGAGCUGACAACUAUGGAUGGUAAGGAUCGUGUGAUUAAGGAGAUUGCAGAGUACGCCCUCAUUCUCAUGAGUCUGCAGAAGUACAUAGUGGGAUCGCCGGCCAUGGUGGUGCCGGAGCUGAUGGUGCCUGGCAAUCUUCUCCAUCUUCUUCAUAUGCACUUGCUGAAGCCUCUUGCAACCUCCGUCUCGCCUACUGCAACAGUCAACGGAGCCAAUCCCGUAUCUGUGCGCCGAUGGCGCUCGGCGACGGAGUAUAGCUUCGCAGGGGUGAAGUUCAAGCGUCGGUCCAUGAGCGAGCCGGGGCUCCUACGUUGCAUUCUUGACGUGGAGCUGGUCGGCGGCGGCACACUGGAGGUCCCCGAGCUGGACAUCGACGGCGAGACGUGGCGACUAUUGCGCAACCUGAUGGAGCUUGAGCAGCGGAACCGGGAGACGGUGGGGAGCCACGUCACUGCAUACUGCGUGUUCAUGUCACAGGUGGCCUGCACCACCAAGGACGUGGAGCUGCUGUGGAAGAAGGGCAUCAUCGUGCACAGCCACGGCAACAAUGACGAGGUGGCCAAAUGCUUUGCCGACCUCUGCAAGGGGAUCCAGUUUGACCCUAACGACCCCGGUUGCAAUUACCUGCGGGAGACAUGCUCGAAGCUGGAGAAGCGGUCUCAGAGUUACUGGCGGAGGUGGAUGGCGUGGCUGAGGCGGAAGUACUUCAGCAACCCUUGGCUCGCCGUCGGGCUCCUGGCUGCUGCCAUUGGCCUAGUUUGCACUGUCGUCCAGGCAGUGUACUCGGCUUUGAGUUACAAACAUGGAGGAAACUAA
RNAcentral lists this ribosomal RNA (1407 nucleotides) under Triticum aestivum (bread wheat). RNAcentral describes it as "partial small subunit ribosomal RNA". The record is from RNAcentral. Lineage: Eukaryota; Viridiplantae; Streptophyta; Magnoliopsida; Poales; Poaceae.